This 492-nucleotide long non-coding RNA is filed under the name Mus musculus (house mouse). RNAcentral describes it as "RIKEN cDNA 4930521O17 gene (4930521O17Rik)". Lineage: Eukaryota; Metazoa; Chordata; Mammalia; Rodentia; Muridae. The record is from RNAcentral.
GGGCUUGGGGUCAGAGGAUUUCAGGAUCACCUUUUCCCAUCCAACAAAAGGAAGACAGAGCUGCAUUGCUCCAGGCCAUGAAAAGACAUCUGGACCAAAAGGACAAUUAAGGUCAUCCGUGUUGAUGUUGCUAUAAGCAGCGAACCGGGAGUUUAAUGCUUAUAAAAUGAAAACCAGAUGUGGGACGGAGGUGGAACCCUGCUGCAUUGGAGUUGGCAACAAUUUUCGGGAGCCGAGCAAAGCUUUCACUUUCAAGGCAGAUCUUGAACAAUAGUCGCAUCUGUUUCUUCAAAGCCCAGGCAGACUCAGCGCGGUUGAAUUCAUCUUCAGCUUUGAAUAGAAAGGGGCAUUGUUGGAAGAAUAACUAGACAGCCUUUCAUGUGCUCGAUUACAAGACUUUAAUUUUUCAGAUGUAAAGUAUAAUAAAAAGCCUUUCAACCCCUACCUCACAACCCCAUUCUCCUAUAAACUUGGUGAAAUCCUACAUCUUGA